UCGAUCUUUUUCUGUCUGUCUGAAGAGGAGGAGAUUUAUGGAAAUAAAGGCGGUAAUUGAAGAAAGUCAAGAAACCCCAACCCAAGGAAAUAUCCAAGGUAUCUUUAUGGUAUCAACAGUGACAAGCAAAAAUAUGAACUUUAAGAAAGUCAAUUUUUGUUGCAACUUACAGCCUAAUUGGCUUCUUUCAGUCCUGAGUAUAAAAUCUCCUAUCCCCUCCUCUUUGCAAAUUCUCUAAAUGUUGGCCAUUUCAAGUGUCAAUACCAUUGCUUCGAAACCAUCAGUUUAUUCGGUUUAUAACCCUCUAUUUUGGUAUGAAGGAUGGGUGAUGGAGGAAGGAAGGAUGAGGGAAAGGAUGGAUGGAAGAAGGUGGAGGAGGAAGGAUGGACGAGGGAGAGGAUGGAUGGUGAAGGAAGGAUGGAUGAGGGAGAGGAUGGAUGGAAGAAGGUGGAGGGGGAAGGAUGGAUGAGGGAGAGGAUUGAUGGAUCUUCCAUCCAUCCUUUCAUAUGUUUGGUGAAACAUAGACGGAUGGAUAGAAAUGAUUCUCUUUAUUUGGUAUAGGAGGAAUAAAAGGGAGGAUGAUAUUUAUAUAACAUUUUUAUUAGGAAGGAUGAAUGACGGAGAGGAUGGAUGGAAAGUGGAGGAAGGAUAGAUGAGGAAGAGAAUGGAUAGAAGAUCCAUCCAUCCUUCUAUAUGUUUGGUGAAAUAUAGACGGAUGGAUAAAAAUGAUUUUCUCUGUUUGGCAUUGGAUAAAUGAGAGGAUGGAUGAAUUUUUCAUCUAUCCCUUAAUAUGUUUGGUGAAGUAUAGAUGGAUGGAUAGAAAUGAUUCUCUCCUCGGUUUAGUAUAGGAGGAAUGAAAGCGAGGA
This 866-nucleotide long non-coding RNA is filed under the name Elaeis guineensis (African oil palm). Its description in RNAcentral is "long non-coding RNA (EGUI_LNC001524)". The record is from RNAcentral. Lineage: Eukaryota; Viridiplantae; Streptophyta; Magnoliopsida; Arecales; Arecaceae.